UUACUGGGCGUAAAGCGUGCGCAGGCGGAUUGUUAAGCAAGACGUGAAAUCCCCGGGCUUAACCUGGGAAUGGCGUUUUGAACUGGCAGUCUAGAGUGUGUCAGAGGGGGGUGGAAUUCCACGUGUAGCAGUGAAAUGCGUAGAUAUGUGGAGGAACACCAAUGGCGAAGGCAGCCCCCUGGGAUAACACUGACGCUCAUGUACGAAAGCGUGGGUAGCAAACAGGAUUAGAUACCCUGGUAGUCCACGCCCUAAACGAUGUCAACUGGUUGUUGGGGGAGUGAAAUCCCUUAGUAACGAAGCUAACGCGUGAAGUUGACCGCCUGGGGAGUACGGUCGCAAGAUUAAAACUCAAAGGAAUUGACGGGGACCCGCACAAGCGGUGGAUGAUGUGGAUUAAUUCGAUGCAACCGCGAAAAACCUUACCUACCCUUGACAUGUCCAGAAUCCUGCAGAGAUGCGGGAGUGCCCGAAAGGGAAUUGGAACACAGGUGCUGCAUGGCUGUCGUCAGCUCGUGUCGUGAGAUGUUGGGUUGAGUCCCGCAACGAGCGCAACCCUUAUCAUUAGUUGCUACGCAAGGGCACUCUAAUGAGACUGCCGGUGACAAACCGGAGGAAGGUGGGGAUGACGUCAAGUCCUCAUGGCCCUUAUGGGUAGGGCUUCACACGUCAUACAAUGGUCGGUACAGAGGGUUGCCAAGCCGCGAGGUGGAGCCAAUCCCAGAAAGCCGAUCGUAGUCCGGAUUGUUCUCUGCAACUCGAGAGCAUUAAGUCGGAAUCGC
This 782-nucleotide ribosomal RNA is filed under the name uncultured Thiobacillus sp. RNAcentral describes it as "bacterial SSU rRNA". It matches the Rfam family "Bacterial small subunit ribosomal RNA", at positions 551 to 1335 of the family's 1533-position model. The record is from RNAcentral. Lineage: Bacteria; Pseudomonadati; Pseudomonadota; Betaproteobacteria; Nitrosomonadales; Thiobacillaceae.